Molecule: ribosomal RNA, 269 nt
Filed under: Escherichia coli
Lineage: Bacteria; Pseudomonadati; Pseudomonadota; Gammaproteobacteria; Enterobacterales; Enterobacteriaceae
Description: partial 16S ribosomal RNA
Rfam family: Bacterial small subunit ribosomal RNA
Source: RNAcentral
CAUAAAGUGCGUCGUAGUCCGGAUUGGAGUCUGCAACUCGACUCCAUGAAGUCGGAAUCGCUAGUAAUCGUGGAUCAGAAUGCCACGGUGAAUACGUUCCCGGGCCUUGUACACACCGCCCGUCACACCAUGGGAGUGGGUUGCAAAAGAAGUAGGUAGCUUAACCUUCGGGAGGGCGCUUACCACUUUGUGAUUCAUGACUGGGGUGAAGUCGUAACAAGGUAACCGUAGGGGAACCUGCGGUUGGAUCACCUCCUUACCUUAAAGAA